GUCCUUAGUUACCAGCACGUUAUGGUGGGCACUCUAAGGAGGAACUGCCGGUGACAAACCGGAGGAAGUGGGGAUGACGUCAAGUCAUCAUGGCCCUUACGGCCUGGGCUACACACGUGCUACAAUGGUCGGUACAAAGGGUUGCCAAGCCGCGAGGUGGAGCUAAUCCCAUAAAACCGAUCGUAGUCCGGAUCGCAGUCUGCAACUCGACUGCGUGAAGUCGGAAUCGCUAGUAAUCGUGAAUCAGAAUGUCACGGUGAAUACGUUCCCGGGCCUU
Molecule: ribosomal RNA, 277 nt
Filed under: uncultured Pseudomonas sp.
Lineage: Bacteria; Pseudomonadati; Pseudomonadota; Gammaproteobacteria; Pseudomonadales; Pseudomonadaceae
Description: partial 16S ribosomal RNA
Rfam family: Bacterial small subunit ribosomal RNA
Source: RNAcentral